Molecule: ribosomal RNA, 443 nt
Filed under: uncultured bacterium
Lineage: Bacteria
Description: partial 16S ribosomal RNA
Rfam family: Bacterial small subunit ribosomal RNA
Source: RNAcentral
CCUACGGGUGGCUGCAGUGGGGAAUAUUGGGCAAUGGAGGCAACUCUGACCCAGCAACGCCGCGUGAAUGAUGAAGGUCUUCGGAUUGUAAAGUUCUGUGAUGGGGGAUGAACACAAUGACGGUAGCCCAAUAGCAAGCCACGGCUAACUACGUGCCAGCAGCCGCGGUAAUACGUAGGUGGCAAGCGUUAUCCGGAAUGACUGGGCGUAAAGGGGGCGUAGGUGGUGUAGUAAGUUGGCGGUGUAAGUCCGGGGCUCAACCUCGGCGCUACCGGUAAAACUAUUAGGCUAGAGUGCAGGAGGGGUAAGUGGAAUUCCUAGUGUAGCGGUGGAAUGCGUAGAUAUUAGGAGGAACAUCAGUGGCGAAGGCGACUUACUGGACUGCAACUGACGCUGAGGCACGAAAGCGUGGGGAGCAAACAGGAUUAGAUACCCUUGUAGUC